UUUUUCCCUUGCAGGGCGGCGGAGACCGGAAGGCGGCAUCCGCAGCUGGCAAGGCCCGAGGGUCCGCAGCCCACCGAGCCGAGCACAGCAGGCAGUCAACGUCGAAUCCGAACUUGAAUUCUGUGCGGCUGAUUGCAGAGCUGUCUUGACGCCCCAAGGUCUCGGAUCGGCGACCCCCGGGGGACAGAAGUCGGCUGUUCUCCCGGAGACGAGCUUUCUCGCGGAGGCCACUGGUUGCAGAAGCUGGAAGUGAAAUAAAGGUGCGCGCGCGCCCGUUCCUGCGCUCCAGUAACCCCUUCGGAGAUCGGCGAGCCCCCCAGCACCCCUGCAUCUUAGGCUUUUCCACAAAGCCUGAGCAUCUUGCUGUGUCCCGA
This 374-nucleotide long non-coding RNA is filed under the name Suricata suricatta (meerkat). Its description in RNAcentral is "lncRNA (ENSSSUG00005022273.1)". Lineage: Eukaryota; Metazoa; Chordata; Mammalia; Carnivora; Herpestidae. The record is from RNAcentral.